Peromyscus californicus insignis is the source of this 656-nucleotide long non-coding RNA. RefSeq lists it as uncharacterized. Lineage: Eukaryota; Metazoa; Chordata; Mammalia; Rodentia; Cricetidae. The record is from RefSeq and is a predicted model, not a curated record. The transcript is spliced from 3 exons.
GGGCGCCGCCAUCUUGCAGCACGCGCAGGGCAUGCUGGGCCUCGGCCGCCCUGCGACUACAAGCGCCUCACUGUCUCUGCGCAUGCUCGGGCGGAGCGGGAGCGGGUGUCCCGGCAUGAAGAGACUUUGACCGUAUUUUCAAUACCAAGCCUUGUGUUGGACUUCCUGAACUGCCAGUCGGAGAUUUGUGUGCAGGAGGAUUAAGAUGUGCCAUUUGUGGACAACACCUGAAAUAGAAAACUGAAACACUCCAUCUUGCUGGGAAGUCCCUGAACCUGACCAAAUGCUAUGGGCCAUCUCCCUCUCCCUGCCAGAAUAAACAAUAAAAGCUGAGAGUCCCUCUCAGACUCAAAAAAGCCAAACUUCAAAGAAGACUCUCAGACUAGCCAAGCUGCAAAGAAGACAAUGAGAAGCUGAACUGCCUGCCUAGUUUGGACCAGCAUCAUUUGGAAAGGACACUCUCCCACCUGUCAAGCUGCCUGCAGGCUGUGUAGUGCCCUCCAGGCUUCCCAGCUUUUGUGAGCUGUCACCCAUGCUGAGGUGGGCCUUGGUAAUGCAGCUGUCUUUGAGUCAUUUCUUCUCCUGUAAGUAGUCCUUCAUCCACACUCCACAAUAAAACUCACUGGUUCACCAGUUGGACUUUGAUGGUAUCAGUA